RNAcentral lists this ribosomal RNA (492 nucleotides) under uncultured bacterium. Its description in RNAcentral is "partial 16S ribosomal RNA". It matches the Rfam family "Bacterial small subunit ribosomal RNA", at positions 29 to 507 of the family's 1533-position model. The record is from RNAcentral.
AGUGAACGCUGGCGGUAGGCCUAACACAUGCAAGUCGAACGGCAGCACAGUAAGAGCUCGCUCUUACGGGUGGCGAGUGGCGGACGGGUGAGGAAUACAUCGGAAUCUACUUUUUCGUGGGGGAUAACGUAGGGAAACUUACGCUAAUACCGCAUACGACCUACGGGUGAAAGCAGGGGAUCUUCGGACCUUGCGCGAGUGAAUGAGCCGAUGUCGGAUUAGCUAGUUGGCGGGGUAAAGGCCCACCAAGGCGACGAUGCGUAGCUGGUCUGAGAGGAUGAUCAGCCACACUGGAACUGAGACACGGUCCAGACUCCUACGGGAGGCAGCAGUGGGGACUAUUGGGCAAUGGGCGCAAGCCUGAUCCAGCCAUACCGCGUGGGUGAAGAAGGCCUUCGGGUUGUAAAGCCCUUUUGUUGGGAAAGAAAAGCAGCAGGUUAAUACCCCGCUGUUCUGACGGUACCCAAAGAAUAAGCACCGGCUAACUUCGUG